GAUGAACGCUGGCGGCGUGCCUAAUACAUGCAAGUCGAGCGAACGGACGAGAAGCUUGCUUCUCUGAUGUUAGCGGCGGACGGGUGAGUAACACGUGGAUAACCUACCUAUAAGACUGGGAUAACUUCGGGAAACCGGAGCUAAUACCGGAUAAUAUUUUGAACCGCAUGGUUCAAAAGUGAAAGACGGUCUUGCUGUCACUUAUAGAUGGAUCCGCGCUGCAUUAGCUAGUUGGUAAGGUAACGGCUUACCAAGGCAACGAUGCAUAGCCGACCUGAGAGGGUGAUCGGCCACACUGGAACUGAGACACGGUCCAGACUCCUACGGGAGGCAGCAGUAGGGAAUCUUCCGCAAUGGGCGAAAGCCUGACGGAGCAACGCCGCGUGAGUGAUGAAGGUCUUCGGAUCGUAAAACUCUGUUAUUAGGGAAGAACAUAUGUGUAAGUAACUGUGCACAUCUUGACGGUACCUAAUCAGAAAGCCACGGCUAACUACGUGCCAGCAGCCGCGGUAAUACGUAGGUGGCAAGCGUUAUCCGGAAUUAUUGGGCGUAAAGCGCGCGUAGGCGGUUUUUUAAGUCUGAUGUGAAAGCCCACGGCUCAACCGUGGAGGGUCAUUGGAAACUGGAAAACUUGAGUGCAGAAGAGGAAAGUGGAAUUCCAUGUGUAGCGGUGAAAUGCGCAUAGAUAUGGAGGAACACCAGUGGCGAAGGCGACUUUCUGGUCUGUAACUGACGCUGAUGUGCGAAAGCGUGGGGAUCAAACAGGAUUAGAUACCCUGGUAGUCCACGCCGUAAACGAUGAGUGCUAAGUGUUAGGGGGUUUCCGCCCCUUAGUGCUGCAGCUAACGCAUUAAGCACUCCGCCUGGGGAGUACGACCGCAAGGUUGAAACUCAAAGGAAUUGACGGGGACCCGCACAAGCGGUGGAGCAUGUGGUUUAAUUCGAAGCAACGCGAAGAACCUUACCAAAUCUUGACAUCCUUUGACAACUCUAGAGAUAGAGCCUUCCCCUUCGGGGGACAAAGUGACAGGUGGUGCAUGGUUGUCGUCAGCUCGUGUCGUGAGAUGUUGGGUUAAGUCCCGCAACGAGCGCAACCCUUAAGCUUAGUUGCCAUCAUUAAGUUGGGCACUCUAAGUUGACUGCCGGUGACAAACCGGAGGAAGGUGGGGAUGACGUCAAAUCAUCAUGCCCCUUAUGAUUUGGGCUACACACGUGCUACAAUGGACAAUACAAAGGGCAGCGAAACCGCGAGGUCAAGCAAAUCCCAUAAAGUUGUUCUCAGUUCGGAUUGUAGUCUGCAACUCGACUACAUGAAGCUGGAAUCGCUAGUAAUCGUAGAUCAGCAUGCUACGGUGAAUACGUUCCCGGGUCU
This 1372-nucleotide ribosomal RNA is filed under the name uncultured bacterium. RNAcentral describes it as "bacterial SSU rRNA". It matches the Rfam family "Bacterial small subunit ribosomal RNA", at positions 28 to 1381 of the family's 1533-position model. The record is from RNAcentral.